AGGGUUAAGCAAUAUCAUAUUAAAGCUCCGACGUCAAUAUAUAUGUCCUCCUGUUUCAGAGAAUACACACUUUGCGAACAUUUCUGUAAUCGCCACAAUGAUCCGAUAAGCCAUACUUUGAGUCCAUAUUUGUAAAGUAUAUUAAAUAACUAAAAAAAUUCGAAUAGUUCUUGCAGACUAUUCGUGUAUAUAAUGAUUUCAGUAACCUUCAUAAUUAAUUCACACAUUUCACUCCAAUUCAUCGUCUGCCUCAAAUGGUUUAAAGAUUUUUCCUAUAAUAAAGGGUUCUACCAUGAAACCAAGGUAUGUGAGUUAGAUUUGUCUUUCAGUUUGUCGUUAUAACGAAUUUUCAAACUCUCCAAAUAUUUUGAUCGAACGCUAAAGUGAAAGGGCUUGGCAGGAUAUAAAACUCGUACCUUAGAUUAGAAUGUCGUGAAAACCUUAUUUCAGAUAUUUAAUUGUGGCUUCUCAGUAGGAAAUGUAUAGGUGUGUUUCGACAUCGACAUAAAACUUAAGAGCGCUUCCUUUGUAACAUGAAGCUUAGCAUCACAAAUUCGAGCUGAGUGGUUACUUUAUAUCAUCAUAAAUACCUAGAGCUCCAGCGUGGAACAUAGGUUACUUUAUAUGAUUAGUCGUAAUUUUUACAGCUAAGCUAUUGAAAAUCAUUCACAUUCUGAUAGGAAAAAAUUUCUUGAGUAGCAAUUGUUCAAGGCUCAAAAUUUGAAGGCGGCAAGUAUAUAAAUUUUAAUCGAAAAUUCUUACCACAACCUUACUCAAUUUAACCUCACUGUGCGCCGCUCCAACACUCAGCUUUCUGUCUGCUGCUGCUAUCUGCUGCUGAAUGCUGCGCCGCUGUUCGCCUUUUUGGCGUACAACGCUCGGACAGCUGCGCGUCGUCGUUCGUCCGUAGAUGUACGCCCGGUUCGUGUUGGCGAAAUGAAUUUUCUCUUUUUCACAUUUGGGGCCAAUUUUUUAGUACGAAUUGUACUUUGAAGCGAAUCGAAGGUGCUGAGCGGGUCUAAAAGCAAACACACAUGCCUACAUACCGACCGACAAAAAUUUUUUUUGUGCUGUAAAGUUGUAAAAUUGCAAAAUUUGUGUAAUUGCAUUGGUAAAAAGUAGAAGAAAAAUCGGCAAAUCAUUAAAGCCAAUCAAUUCGAGAAGUCGCAAGUAAUUAAAUUUGUGCAAAAUUUGUUGGUGAUUGCAGCGAAGAAAAGGAAAUCGCUAGGCAAGUCGAAAAAAAGUAGCGAUUGCAGAAAGCAGCUAAGGUAGCUAGCAAAAAAGCAAGUGUGCAACAACAAGUGCAACAAAGGCAAAUAAGGAAAAAGCUGCAAAAAAAGAGUUACAAGCUGAAUAAAAACACCACCAAACACUUGAAUCACCACUAACAGCAGAGAAAAACGAUUACAACAAAUAACAAUAAUAACAACAACAACAUUGAGAACAACUAGCAACAGUGUAGAGACACAUACUUACAUACAUAUGUACAUAAAUACAAAUGUAUACAUGCACAUACUUGUAGAUACAACACACACAGCUAUACAAACAGAGCAACUAACAAACUUUAAAACUCUAAAAAAAAUCUAAAAAUCUAAAUAUCACACACAACCAUACACACUUGCAUACAGAAUAAAACCAAAACAAGCAAAAGACAAGCAAAGACAACAACAAAAACACACAAACACAUUAAAAAGUGCAGUUUGCAAGCGAAAAAGUGUAAUUUGUGGAAAUUUGCGAAAUCGUAAAUCUAAAAUUUCAAAUUGAAAAAAAUUCCCCGCAAAAUACGCCAUUCGAAUAAGUCACACUAAAGCGAAGUGAAAAAUCAUCUGAAAAUCUUCACUUUUCAAUAGCGAGUGUAAGCAUUUCUAUUAGUUUGGUGCUGUUCCAUACCCGCGCGCCUCGUUCGCAAGAAAAUUCAAUACAAAUAUAAAAAAGGAAAUUCAGCAACCGCUUUUGGCUCCUUGGCAGAAGAAAGAGGAAGAAGCAUUAGCAAAAAAAGUUGCAACUAAAUUUGUGAAUAUUGUCGUUGCUUAGCUACGCGCGCAGCCUCCAUCCAUCCACCUCCUUCAAUUCGUGUACGUGUGUGUAUGAGCGCGCGCUCCUCAUUCUGUGCAUGUGUGUGAGUGUAUGAGUAAGCCGAAGUUUGCAAUCAUUGUAUUCGUGUUUGUAGUGCGAAAAGCGAAAACUCAACUAGAAAAAAUUACAAAACAAAAAAAAAAAUAUCGUGAAAAUACCAGAUGAACUACAGUCGGUUUUGAAUGCUUGAAAUUUGAAGCUGAGUUUUUCAAGAGCUGGGAAAAGUGAGUGAGUUGUUGCUACAUUUUUGUGCUUGCCACGCUAAAAACCAACCAAGAAACUCUGAAAAAUCAAACCUCAAAAGGGAAAAACAAACUGAUCGCCUGACCGACGGUAAAGUGAAAGUGCAACGCCAGAACGUGUAAAAUAACGGUGCAAUAGCAGCAGCAGUGGCAGUUAGGGAAGACGUGCUUUGAACGCUGAUCCAAACAAGCAAGCAGACAAAGGUGGCACUAACAGCAGCAGCAGCAGAAGCAGCAGCAAAUCAAGCCAGACAUCAACCAAUCAGUUAUACCAACGACAAAGGAGUUAGAAAAGCAGAAGUUGCAUAUACGCCGACAACGACGUCGCUUCAAAGAAGAAUUAACAAAAGUGAUUAGAAAAAUCUGUGACAGAGUGGAAAUUCUGUGCGAAUUCUCUAUUAAAAGUGUUUUAAGCGAAUAAAGUCCACUACAAAGCGCUGCGCAAAGGCCAACAAAGCAAAAAAGCCAAAACAGCGUUCGGCCUACAAAAACCGGAAGCCAAGCGUCCAAGCUAGCCAGCCAGCCAGCCAGCCAGCGAGCCAUCAAAGUUCAUUGAGAAGCGCUCCACGUAGCGUUCACGCAUAUUUUCAGUCGCGUUGUGCCGCGUUCAGCAGUAGCGCUGGAAUACUUUAUUUCACCCCCCGGUCCAAUAAACGUCGCCAAAAUAAUUCACCAACAAACCAUCACCGACAUCAACUUCGCAACGGCGACCACAAUGCCAUAUAACGGCGCCAGCAAUGGCAGUGGUGGUGGCGGUGGCGGAGGUGGUGGCGGUAUAAGUGAUGGGCCGCAGAACAAGAAGAUACGCACCGGUGUACAGCAGCCGGGCGAAACGGAUGCACAUCUGCAUGCAAGGGUAAGUGGUAGUAGCAUAGAAAGAAUUUAAAAGAAAAGAAAACGAAAGAAGAAAAAAAAAACAAAAAGAAAACAAA
Anastrepha ludens (Mexican fruit fly) is the source of this 3250-nucleotide long non-coding RNA. RefSeq lists it as uncharacterized. The transcript is spliced from 2 exons. Lineage: Eukaryota; Metazoa; Arthropoda; Insecta; Diptera; Tephritidae. The record is from RefSeq and is a predicted model, not a curated record.